RNAcentral lists this ribosomal RNA (406 nucleotides) under uncultured bacterium. RNAcentral's name for it is "partial 16S ribosomal RNA". It matches the Rfam family "Bacterial small subunit ribosomal RNA", at positions 29 to 526 of the family's 1533-position model. The record is from RNAcentral.
AGUGAACGCUGGCGGUAGGCCUAACACAUGCAAGUCGAACGAGUGGCGGACGGGCGAGGCAUACAUCGGAAUCUACUUUGUCGUGGGGGAUAACGUAGGGAAACUUACGCUAAUACCGCAUACGACUGACUGAGCCGAGGUCGGAUUAGCUAGUUGGCGGGGCAAAGGCCCACCAAGGCGACGACCCGUAGCUGGUCUGAGAGGAUGAUCAGCAACACUGGAACUGAGACACGGUCCAGACUCCUACGGGAGGAAGCAGUGGGGAAUAUUGGACAAUGGGCGCAAGGCUGAUCCAGCCAUACCGCUUGGGUGAAGAAGGCCUUCGGGUUGUAAAGCCCUUGUGUUGGGAAAGCGGUACCCAAAGAAUAAGCACCGGCUAACUUCGUGCCAGCCGCCGCGGUAAUUC